UACGGGGGGAGCAAGCGUUGUUCGGAUUUACUGGGCGUAAAGGGCGCGUAGGCGGUCGUGACAAGUCACUUGUGAAAUCUCCGGGCUUAACUCGGAACGGUCAAGUGAUACUGUCGGACUAGAGUACAGAAGGGGCAACUGGAAUUCUCGGUGUAGCGGUGAAAUGCGUAGAUAUCGUAAGGAAGACCAGUGGCGAAGGCGGGUCUCUGGACAGUUCCUGACGGUGAGGCACGAAGGUCAGGGGGAGCAAACGGGG
RNAcentral lists this ribosomal RNA (256 nucleotides) under uncultured bacterium. RNAcentral describes it as "partial 16S ribosomal RNA". It matches the Rfam family "Bacterial small subunit ribosomal RNA", at positions 524 to 777 of the family's 1533-position model. The record is from RNAcentral.